GAUCAUUCACUUUCCUUCUUGUUCCUUUUGCUUGCAGAAUCAAAGAAAAGACGGUCGCAUUCAUUCGAUAUAUCGCCAUUUACCGUACUCAAGCCGAUUUAGUCUCUCUGCAUAAUCUCCCCCCUCACCCCAUUUAUUGAAACUCGCCCCUGCGAUUUUAUUUCCUCCUUUAUUCACUCCAUUUCUUCCUUCCUAAGAAGUCCUCCUCUUCCUCAGUCAGUCACUCCCUUGGCCCAAGCAGCACUCCCACCCAGUACGUUCCAUCUGCAGCUGCAAUGGUACAUUAUUGCUCCUCGUGCUUUCUCUGCUGCUCUCGAUCUCCUAACAUAACGUCUCUGGAGGACAUCUUCGCCCCGAAAGAGUGCAAGACAAAGUGCGUGUGUGUACAGAUGCUCGGCCACAUCGCACGAGAAGCCAUGCGUGUUCUUCUGCCUCAAUUGCUGCGUUAAAUGCCUGUGCGUCCCUCCAAGCACUUGCGGCAACAAGGGGACCUGCCCUUGCUACAAUAACAUGAAGUCCAAGGAAAACAGUCCCGAGUGCCCUUAAUUAUCAUAGAUUAUUUGUUUGUGUCGUCUUCGGUCGAUUGUAGUUCGCUGAUAAUAAUAAAUAAGAAUCAAUCUCGAUGAUGUAGCUAUCGGGUUCUGUUCGUCAGCGAAUGGUUUACUUUGUUGAAGUCGAUGUGAUUGGAUCCAUGAAAUCUAUCCGUGUCAAUUAACUGAUGACAUUCAUAGCACAGGUAGAAUCGGGAACAAAACUUUGGGGGGUUAGUUGUCCUGACUCUGAGAGUGGAACCAAACCGCAAAAACACAACUGAAAAGAACCAAGACUGC
Molecule: non-coding RNA, 830 nt
Organism: Punica granatum (pomegranate)
Lineage: Eukaryota; Viridiplantae; Streptophyta; Magnoliopsida; Myrtales; Lythraceae
Source: RefSeq, a predicted model, not a curated record